UCUCUGACUGACAGAAGAUACCAUGAUCAUGAGGUGGUUUUCUCAGGAUAAGGUUCAUCCAUUGCAUUCCAGGGGUGCUGACCCUUGUGAUUUCCCCUGCUGUGGGAAACUCAACUGCAUAACUUGUAGUAGUGGAAGACUGUGUUUGCACUUUCCCCUG
This is a non-coding RNA of Chelonia mydas (Green sea turtle), 160 nucleotides long. Lineage: Eukaryota; Metazoa; Chordata; Testudines; Cheloniidae. The record is from Rfam.